GACGAACGCUGGCGGCGUGCCUAAUGCAUGCAAGUAGAACGCUGAAGGAGGAGCUCGCUCUUCUGGAUGAGUUGCGAACGGGUGAGUAACGCGUAGGUAACCUGCCUGGUAGCGGGGGAUAACUAUUGGAAACGAUAGCUAAUACCGCAUAAGAGUAGAUGUUGCAUGACAUUUACUUAAAAGGUGCAAUUGCAUCACUACCAGAUGGACCUGCGUUGUAUUAGCUAGUUGGUGGGGUAACGGCUUACCAAGGCGACGAUACAUAGCCGACCUGAGAGGGUGAUCGGCCACACUGGGACUGAGACACGGCCCAGACUCCUACGGGAGGCAGCAGUAGGGAAUCUUCGGCAAUGGACGGAAGUCUGACCGAGCAACGCCGCGUGAGUGAAGAAGGUUUUCGGAUCGUAAAGCUCUGUUGUAAGAGAAGAACGAGUGUGAGAGUGGAAAGUUCACACUGUGACGGUAUCUUACCAGAAAGGGACGGCUAACUACGUG
RNAcentral lists this ribosomal RNA (495 nucleotides) under uncultured bacterium. RNAcentral describes it as "partial 16S ribosomal RNA". It matches the Rfam family "Bacterial small subunit ribosomal RNA", at positions 28 to 507 of the family's 1533-position model. The record is from RNAcentral.